UACGUAGGGGGCAAGCGUUAUCCGGAUUUAUUGGGCGUAAAGGGAACGCAGGCGGUCUUUUAAGUCUGAUGUGAAAGCCUUCGGCUUAACCGGAGUAGUGCAUUGGAAACUGGGAGACUUGAGUGCAGAAGAGGAGAGUGGAACUCCAUGUGUAGCGGUGAAAUGCGUAGAUAUAUGGAAGAACACCAGUGGCGAAAGCGGCUCUCUGGUCUGUAACUGACACUGAGGUUCGAAAGCGUGGGUAGCAAACAGG
RNAcentral lists this ribosomal RNA (253 nucleotides) under uncultured bacterium. RNAcentral's name for it is "partial 16S ribosomal RNA". It matches the Rfam family "Bacterial small subunit ribosomal RNA", at positions 524 to 776 of the family's 1533-position model. The record is from RNAcentral.